CCUUCACUGAUGAGGAACCGAUUGACUUUCGUUCUUCUGAGCUGGCUGAAGCCACUUGUAUUGACCUGAGGAGG
Molecule: small nucleolar RNA, 74 nt
Organism: Amazona collaria (yellow-billed parrot)
Lineage: Eukaryota; Metazoa; Chordata; Aves; Psittaciformes; Psittacidae
Source: Ensembl